AUGACUCCCAGCACCGAAGCUGACCACGACCACGACGCCGAGCCCGGCACCCGGGAACCUGUUCCGGACGUGCCGCUCCCAACCAUGACUCCCAGCACCGAGGAGGCUGACCACGACCACGACCACGACCACGACCACGACCACGACCACGACGCCGAGCCCGGCACCCGGGAACCUGUUCCGGACGUGCCGCUCCCAACCAUGACUCCCAGCACCGAGGAGGCUGACCACGACCACGACCACGACCACGACCACGACCACGACGCCGAGCCCGGCACCCGGGAACCUGUUCCGGACGUGCCGCUCCCAACCAUGACUCCCAGCACCGAGGAGGCUGACCACGACCACGACCACGACCACGACCACGACCACGACGCCGAGCCCGGCACCCGGGAACCUGUUCCGGACGUGCCGCUCCCAACCAUGACUCCCAGCACCGAGGAGGCUGACCACGACCACGACCACGACCACGACCACGACCACGGUAGGGGCCCGUGUGCCUUGUGUCCUCUGCCCCUGGGAGCCCGCUGGGUUGCCGGGGCUCCUUGAGCGAGAACGGGCUUUCCUAUUGCCUCCGGGACCGGGAAGGUGUCGCCAUGCGAUUCCUUGUCCCGAAACGCUGGCCUGUGCUCUGGAGCUGCGGGGACGUCCUCGGGGCUCUGCCCGGGAAGGAUGUGCUCCCUGGGGAGAGAGGGGCCGCGGUGCGAGUCAGGCGCUCCGAGACGGGGCCGUGUGUCCUCCCGGGUGCUCUGGUUGGCUGCACGCUGCCUGGGCCUGUCCGCAGGUUGUGCGUUUCUCUGCGUGGUGGUCUGCUAACCCGUGCGGGAGGGGCGUAGGCUUCCCCGCCCCCCACGUCUGCUCCCGCCAUGACCCCGGGGGUCUGGUGCAGCACUCCCAGCCCGCAUGCCUGGCGUGGCCACGGAGGCUGCGAGUGCAGAAGCCUCAUGGGACCCGGCGUGGAGUGCCCCACUGCCCCUGGUGGCCCAGUGUGCGCAGCGGACUUAGGCGCGGGCACGCUGGGCUCCGCGAGGGUGGUGCUCUGUGCCUCUGCCUCUCCUGAGACGUCCUUGCCUUCCUCUUGGCGUUGGCUGGUCUCCGAGCUCCCGGGACAGCGUCCAGGAGGCGUGGCCGCUGCCUGAGGACAAGUCCUCGAUGUGCCCUCUGACGCUGGCACGAGCGUGUUCUGGACCCGGGCCGUGCCCCCAGGCAGCUGGGGAGUUGUCUGCCUUGUAGUGCGGCGGGCCACCAGGAGAAUCUGACCCAGUGUCCUGGAUGGGCCAGUUCCCAGUCGUGCGCUCGUGGCCCAGACCAGACCCGGGCUGGUGUGUGGAGCCAGCCACGCGGGCCCGUCUGUCCUCCGUGCCCUGAGUGGGCGCAGAUGAGAGAGGGCGCGGUUGCUCCGUCCGCUUUUCUCCCCUCUCGCCCCCAUGCGGGGAGCCGUCCAGCGAGGCCUGGCUGGACUGAGCCCGUGCCGGACACGGUGCUCCGUUGCCGUCCUGGAGGGCCCAGAGGAUUGCUCGAGGUGUGCCCACCAGGCCCCUCCCCUGAG
Molecule: long non-coding RNA, 1549 nt
Organism: Oryctolagus cuniculus (rabbit)
Lineage: Eukaryota; Metazoa; Chordata; Mammalia; Lagomorpha; Leporidae
Source: Ensembl